UCCUACGGGGGGCAGCAGUGAGGAAUAUUGGUCAAUGGUCGGGAGACUGAACCAGCCAAGCCGCGUGAGGGAGGAAGGACCUAUGGUUUGUAAACUUCUUUUAUAGGGGAAUAAAGGUAUCCACGUGUGGAUAUUUGCAUGUACCCUAUGAAUAAGCAUCGGCUAACUCCGUGCCAGCAGCCGCGGUAAUACGGAGGAUGCGAGCGUUAUCCGGAUUUAUUGGGUUUAAAGGGUGCGUAGGCGGAAUAUCAAGUCAGCGGUAAAAAUUCGGGGCUCAACCCCGUCGUGCCGUUGAAACUGAUGUU
This 305-nucleotide ribosomal RNA is filed under the name uncultured bacterium. RNAcentral describes it as "bacterial SSU rRNA". It matches the Rfam family "Bacterial small subunit ribosomal RNA", at positions 337 to 640 of the family's 1533-position model. The record is from RNAcentral.